GACGAACGCUGGCGGCGUGCUUAACACAUGCAAGUCGAACGGAAAGGCCCUGCUUUUGUGGGGUGCUCGAGUGGCGAACGGGUGAGUAACACGUGAGUAACCUGCCCUUGACUUUGGGAUAACUUCAAGAAACUGGGGCUAAUACCGGAUAGGAGCUCCUGCUGCAUGGUGGGGGUUGGAAAGUUUCGGCGGUUGGGGAUGGACUCGCGGCUUAUCAGCUUGUUGGUGCGGUAGUGGCUUACCAAGGCUUUGACGGGUAGCCGGCCUGAGAGGGUGACCGGCCACAUUGGGACUGAGAUACGGCCCAGACUCCUACGGGAGGCAGCAGUGGGGAAUAUUGCACAAUGGGCGGAAGCCUGAUGCAGCAACGCCGCGUGCGGGAUGACGGCCUUCGGGUUGUAAACCGCUUUCGCCUGUGACGAAGCGUGAGUGACGGUAAUGGGUAAAGAAGCACCGGCUAACUACGUG
This 468-nucleotide ribosomal RNA is filed under the name uncultured bacterium. Its description in RNAcentral is "partial 16S ribosomal RNA". It matches the Rfam family "Bacterial small subunit ribosomal RNA", at positions 28 to 507 of the family's 1533-position model. The record is from RNAcentral.